GGAGGUAUACCCAAGUCUGGCUGAAGGGAUCGGUCUUGAAAACCGACAGGGGGUCAAACCCCGCGGGGGUUCGAAUCCCUCUACCUCCUCCA
This 92-nucleotide transfer RNA is filed under the name Bacillus sp. OVS6. RNAcentral describes it as "tRNA-Ser". It matches the Rfam family "tRNA". From Rfam's summary of the family: Transfer RNA (tRNA) molecules are approximately 80 nucleotides in length. Their secondary structure includes four short double-helical elements and three loops (D, anti-codon, and T loops). The record is from RNAcentral. Lineage: Bacteria; Bacillati; Bacillota; Bacilli; Caryophanales; Bacillaceae.